CUUCGCUGUUUUUUUUUGUUUCGCAAGAUGUUGCUUAGAUAAAUGAAAUAUGAUAUGGAACAGUUUAUGCGCUUUUGAAACGGACACUGCGAAACUGAAUUCUCUCCCAUACAAGAGCUAUCUCCCCGAACACUGUUUUUCUUGUUAUCGCUUAAUCUUCAAAACCGUAUAAGAAACCGACAAAUUUAUUUUUCCAAAUUGCUCGUU
This 207-nucleotide long non-coding RNA is filed under the name Mytilus galloprovincialis (Mediterranean mussel). The record is from RNAcentral. Lineage: Eukaryota; Metazoa; Mollusca; Bivalvia; Mytilida; Mytilidae.